GUUUAUGUAUUUGUUUUCCAAUAAAAGAUAUACUUUAUUCAAUUAAAUUUGUUAUUUGUGUGACUAAACCAUCCAUAGAGAUUACAUUUUUAUUGAAAUGUCACGUGUAAAUAACAUAAUUGUUUAUUAAAUAGAUUAUAAUUUCUCAUCCUCUCAUCCCAAACCCUCGAAACUUAAUUUAUUCACUAAUUUCUCUUGAACCAAACUCUAUCCCUAAACUCUCACCCACCUUCUACAAACUCUUCAACUCAUCGAUAGAGAUUUUACUAGAGAUUUUACUAGAGUUUGGUGUUUGGACAUUGAUGAGGUUGACGAUGAAGAUUUUUGCAGUGGUGGUCGUUGGCGACGAUGGAGAAAACUGAACCAAUUAUAGGGUAUGCUUUUGGAAAGAUUGCGGUGGUGGUGGAACCUGGUUUGCUUAUUGCUGAUAACCAAAGUAGAAGUUACCACGAUUAAAAACAAACAAGCUAAACAUUUCAACUUCACUUUAUGUAGAUGUCUUGAAGAGUUUGUGGAAGGUGGGUGAAAGGUUAGGGAUAGAGUUUGGCUGGAGAGAAAUUAGUGAAUGAAUUGAGUUUGGAGGGUUUCGUGUGAGAGGAUGGGAAAUUAUAAUCUAUUUACUAAACUAACCAUGACAUCAUACAUAGUUGAAUUAAGUAAUGGAUUAUAUUUUUGACUAAACUAGCAAGUUAUCCGUGCAUUUGCACGAGACGGUAUUUUUUUGC
Molecule: long non-coding RNA, 725 nt
Filed under: Lupinus angustifolius (narrow-leaved blue lupine)
Lineage: Eukaryota; Viridiplantae; Streptophyta; Magnoliopsida; Fabales; Fabaceae
Description: long non-coding RNA (LANG_LNC000198)
Source: RNAcentral